This is a long non-coding RNA of Megalobrama amblycephala (Wuchang bream), 1293 nucleotides long. RefSeq lists it as uncharacterized. The transcript is spliced from 2 exons. NCBI's taxonomy places the organism in Eukaryota, Metazoa, Chordata, Actinopteri, Cypriniformes, Xenocyprididae. The record is from RefSeq and is a predicted model, not a curated record.
AGAUGACUGAUCCAGUGAUUUCAGUCAGUGCUCUGCAGUGAGGGAUUGUGGGACACGGAGGAAGCGCUCGUGACUUCAUCUGUGAAAAGAUGAAGUCUUUGAAUGAUCUGUGGUGAUCCCGAUGGCACACAGACACGCCCAGCGUCACUCGAGCGCAUCACACAUCAGACACGAUCAUAUUUGAGAAGAAUUCGCUCGAAUGAACUCAGAUCUCAUCAUUCAGUCGGUUUACUGGAAGAACACCUGAACAUGAACACCUCAGGAAAAGUUCAGUCAUGAGCGUUUAGAGGAAGUGCAGACGUCUGAUGCAAACACUCAUUUAGAUGAAAUGCCUACUGAAGAAAGAAGCUGACAAACACUUUCAUGACUGAAAAAUCACGUGCAUAUGAGUGUUUCCUUCAGAUUCUUGAAGGGAAAGUUCACCCACACAUAAAUGUAGUCAUCACUUCCUCACCCUCAAGUUGUUCCAAACCUGUAUGAGUUUCUUUCUUCUGAUGAACACACAAAAAAAGAUACGGUUCAUGGCUCUCAUUGACUUCCAUAGUAAUAAAAAUAAUACAGGUGAGUAAAUGAUGACAGAAUUUUCAUUUUUGGAUGAAAAUCCCUUUAAAGCGAGUCCUGAAAUCCUCAACAGAUGACAUACAUUUUAUAUCUGUUCAUGUUUCUCAUGCUCCAAACACUACAGUGACUUGAGGGGAAGACUGUAAAACUGUUUUGCUUGGAGUCCAGGAGGAAUCAGCGUGACUGGACUUUUCUUUAAUGGGUUUAUCAGGCUGAUCUGAGAGCAGCGGUGACGUGAUGUGAGAUCUUUUGUUUCGCUCUGGGUAUUUAAGGAAAGGUGUCAGAGCAGCCAUUGAGUGUAUUAAAACAGUGUGUGAUGCAUCUCUUCCUCUUAGAGACAUCUUUGAGCAAUUAAUGUUAUGUAUUUGUUAUUUUUGAAUUGGCUUCUAUGUGAUUGGCACGAUACAUUUGUACCUGAGAGAUAAAAUAAAAAUAUAUUAACAGCAACAGAAAGAACUGGCCUCCACAGCGUUUGGCGACCUUUAGGGUGUGUUUUGAGCAGUUCCCUCCUGUGAAGAGCACUACACUGCCUCUGCCUCCUGUGUUAAACCAGAACAUGAUUCUGGAGGUUUGAUCAUUACACCUGAGGAUUCACUACACCUGAAAGUGGAACCAAAGCAGUCGACUACGUGCGGAGAAGAUUACAUCAACAUCUUUCAAGCAAGUCUGUUCUUGUUAAAGGCUUUGAAAACAGUUCAAACACAAGAAAUAAAAAGAGGCAUACAACUUGAA